ACGCUGGCGGCGUGCCUAACACAUGCAAGUCGAACGGAGUCAAGAAGCUUGCUUUUGACUUAGUGGCGGACGGGUGAGUAACGCGUGAGUAACCUGCCUCUGAGAGGGGAAUAACGUUCUGAAAAGAACGCUAAUACCGCAUAAUGUAUCGGAGCCGCAUGACUUUGAUACCAAAGAUUUUAUCGCUCGGAGAUGGACUCGCGUCCGAUUAGUUAGUUGGUGAGGUAACGGCUCACCAAGACCGCGAUCGGUAGACCGGACUGAGAGGUUGAUCGGCCACAUUGGGACUGAGACACGGCCCAGACUCCUACGGGAGGCAGCAGUGGGGGAUAUUGCGCAAUGGGGGCAACCCUGACGCAGCAACGCCGCGUGAAGGAUGAAGGUUUUCGGAUUGUAAACUUCUUUUAUCAGGGACGAAACUUGACGGUACCUGAUGAAUAAGCUCCGGCUAACUACGUGCCAGCCGCCGC
RNAcentral lists this ribosomal RNA (470 nucleotides) under uncultured bacterium. Its description in RNAcentral is "bacterial SSU rRNA". It matches the Rfam family "Bacterial small subunit ribosomal RNA", at positions 33 to 518 of the family's 1533-position model. The record is from RNAcentral.